Molecule: ribosomal RNA, 254 nt
Filed under: uncultured bacterium
Lineage: Bacteria
Description: partial 16S ribosomal RNA
Rfam family: Bacterial small subunit ribosomal RNA
Source: RNAcentral
UACGUAGGGGGCUAGCGUUGUCCGGAAUCAUUGGGCGUAAAGAGCGUGUAGGCGGCCCGGUAAGUCCGCUGUGAAAGUCGGGGGCUCAACCCUCGAAUGCCGGUGGAUACUGUCGGGCUAGAGUGCGGAAGAGGCGAGUGGAAUUCCUGGUGUAGCGGUGAAAUGCGCAGAUAUCAGGAGGAACACCGGUGGCGAAGGCGGGGUCUCUGGGCCGAUACUGACGCUGAGGAGCGAAAGCGUGGGGAGCGAACAGG